GUGAAUGUGGCUUAGUGGUAGAGUGCUUGCCUAGCAUGCAUGAAGCCCUGGGUUCAAUUCCUCAGUACCACA
This 72-nucleotide transfer RNA is filed under the name Dipodomys ordii (Ord's kangaroo rat). It matches the Rfam family "tRNA". From Rfam's summary of the family: Transfer RNA (tRNA) molecules are approximately 80 nucleotides in length. Their secondary structure includes four short double-helical elements and three loops (D, anti-codon, and T loops). The record is from Rfam by way of RNAcentral. Lineage: Eukaryota; Metazoa; Chordata; Mammalia; Rodentia; Heteromyidae.